GUGGCUUAAUUUGACUCAACGCGGGAAAUCUUACCGGGUCCGGAUACACUGAGGAUUGACAGACAACCAUAGACAGAAUACACAUACGAUUGUAUUCCUAACGGAAUAUGAUUAGUUGGUCUAAGGAUUUACACACAGGCACUAUCUCUCAUGAUUAUGUUGUAGGUGGUGCAUGGCCGUUGUUAGUUCGUGGAGUAAUCUGUCUGCUUAAUUGCGUUUCGUACAAAGUACUCACUCAAUCCUAGGCAUAGUCCAAUUAUAUGUGGCGGCAUCUAAAACAGUUUCGUUUGUGCGAACCUGUGUCGCCUCUGGGUUAUUGUCAUUUGGAGAGUACGUGAAGGCAACGAACGUGACCGUAGUGUUUUAGUUUGGAUUUCAGACAAGUGUUAUUAACUUGACACGGUCUGAGUUGGUUCAUGUGUACGCGCGCAACACACAGGAUGUGUCCCUAACGUCUUUUGACGUGAGUGUACUAACAUUUCCAGUAACCAUUUCAACUAUACAUACCACUGCUUUUUUUUCUCUAACCAGGGGAAGGUUGCGGCAAUAACAGGUCUGUGA
This 561-nucleotide ribosomal RNA is filed under the name Globorotalia ungulata. Its description in RNAcentral is "SSU rRNA". It matches the Rfam family "Eukaryotic small subunit ribosomal RNA", at positions 1185 to 1467 of the family's 1831-position model. The record is from RNAcentral. Lineage: Eukaryota; Foraminifera; Rotaliida; Globorotaliidae.